RNAcentral lists this ribosomal RNA (561 nucleotides) under Itata sp. Its description in RNAcentral is "partial 16S ribosomal RNA". The stretch from base 69 to 366 matches the Rfam family "Bacterial large subunit ribosomal RNA", at positions 2072 to 2648 of the family's 2925-position model. The record is from RNAcentral. Lineage: Eukaryota; Metazoa; Arthropoda; Arachnida; Araneae; Salticidae.
UUAACUUUUCAAAAAAUUUACAUUAUUUAAUUUUAAAAUUUUUUUAAAAGUAAAAAAACUUUUAUAUAAUAGAAAGACGACAAGACCCUAUUGAACUUAACUAAAGUUAAACUGGGGAAGUAAAUUAAUUAUUAUUUUAGUUUAAAAAAUCAAACUAGAAUCUAAUCUAAUUAAUAAUUAAGUUACCAUAGGGAUAACAGCGUAAUUAUAUUUAUAAGACCUUAUAUAAAAUAUAGAUUUCGACCUCGAUGUUGAAUUAAAAACCUAAUUUAAGCAAAUUUUAAAAAAGGAAGUCUGUUCGACUUUUAAAUAUUUACAUGAUUUGAGUUCAGACCGGUGUAAGCCAGGUCGGAUUCUAUCUUCUAUACAAUUUUUUGUAGUACGAAAGGACCUAAAAAUAUAAUUAUAUUAUAAUAUUAGCAAAUUAAUGCAUUAGAAUUAGAAUCUAAUAAAACUUAAAUUCUUUUUAUAAUAAAUUAUAUUAUAAUUGUAAUCAGAAUUUUAAUUAGAGUUGCAUUUUACACUAUUUUAGAACGAAAAAUUUUAGGGUAUAUACAAAUU